RNAcentral lists this long non-coding RNA (479 nucleotides) under Olea europaea subsp. europaea. The record is from RNAcentral. Lineage: Eukaryota; Viridiplantae; Streptophyta; Magnoliopsida; Lamiales; Oleaceae.
UACAAUUUGGUUGACAAAGGGGCCAAGUGGCGGAAAUUAUUCCAUUUGUACAAUUUGGUUGACUCCAAUAGGAGGCCACCACUUGGCCCCCUUGUCAUCCAAAUUGUACUUCUAACUUGGUUGUUCAAAUCAAGACUUUAAUCAUAAACAAUGUUGUUUUUCCUCGACAGUGAGCUUUUAUAGUAGAAUAAAAAUGGAAAAUCACAUGUCUUGUUACUCUGACCAUAAAUCGAAAAUAAAACGAUGUUCCAAUGAUUGUACAUGUUGCUUACAUUUAAUGAGGGAAAACCUAGUUUUAAUCAAGUGAACUAGCUUAGUGAGAUUUCUUGAAGAAGGGCACUGUGAAGCAUAUUUAGAGAUUCAAAUGGGAAAUUAACCUGUAAUGACCCAAAUUUUUGACUUUAGAGUCAUUAAACGUGAACCAUAAAAAACACAUUCAUAAAUAAAAGAAAAACAUAAUAUUUUCUUAAAAUGCAAAG